GAUGAACGCUGACGGAAUGCUUAACACAUGCAAGUCAACUUGAAUUUGGGUUUUUUAACUUAGAUUUGGGUGGCGGACGGGUGAGUAACGCGUAAAGAACUUGCCUCACAGCUAGGGACAACAUUUGGAAACGAAUGCUAAUACCUGAUAUUAUGAUUAUAAGGCAUCUCAGAAUUAUGAAAGCUAUAUGCGCUGUGAGAGAGCUUUGCGUCCCAUUAGCUAGUUGGAGAGGUAACGGCUCACCAAGGCGAUGAUGGGUAGCCGGCCUGAGAGGGUGAACGGCCACAAGGGGACUGAGACACGGCCCUUACUCCUACGGGAGGCAGCAGUGGGGAAUAUUGGACAAUGGACCAAGAGUCUGAUCCAGCAAUUCUGUGUGCACGAUGACGUUUUUCGGAAUGUAAAGUGCUUUCAGUUGGGAAGAAAAAAAUGACGGUACCAACAGAAGAAGUGACGGCUAAAUACGUG
This 468-nucleotide ribosomal RNA is filed under the name uncultured bacterium. RNAcentral's name for it is "partial 16S ribosomal RNA". It matches the Rfam family "Bacterial small subunit ribosomal RNA", at positions 28 to 507 of the family's 1533-position model. The record is from RNAcentral.